RNAcentral lists this ribosomal RNA (563 nucleotides) under uncultured fungus. Its description in RNAcentral is "eukaryotic LSU rRNA". The stretch from base 218 to 371 matches the Rfam family "5.8S ribosomal RNA". The record is from RNAcentral. Lineage: Eukaryota; Fungi.
AAGUAAAAGUCGUAACAAGGUCUCCGUAGGUGAACCUGCGGAGGGAUCAUUACACAAAUAUGAAGGCGGGCUGGAACCUCUCGGGGUUACAGCCUUGCUGAAUUAUUCACCCUUGUCUUUUGCGUACUUCUUGUUUCCUUGGUGGGUUCGCCCACCACUAGGACAAACAUAAACCUUUUGUAAUUGCAAUCAGCGUCAGUAACAAAUUAAUAAUUACAGCUUUCAACAACGGAUCUCUUGGUUCUGGCAUCGAUGAAGAACGCAGCGAAAUGCGAUAAGUAGUGUGAAUUGCAGAAUUCAGUGAAUCAUCGAAUCUUUGAACGCACAUUGCGCCCUUUGGUAUUCCAAAGGGCAUGCCUGUUCGAGCGUCAUUUGUACCCUCAAGCUUUGCUUGGUGUUGGGCGUCUUGUCUCUAGCUUUGCUGGAGACUCGCCUUAAAGUAAUUGGCAGCCGGCCUACUGGUUUCGGAGCGCUGCACAAGUCGCACUCUCUAUCAGCAAAGGUCUAGCAUCCAUUAAGCCUUUUUUUCAACUUUUGACCUCGAAUCAGGUAGGGAUACCCGC